Long non-coding RNA from Leptonychotes weddellii (Weddell seal), 690 nucleotides. RefSeq lists it as uncharacterized. The record is from RefSeq and is a predicted model, not a curated record. Lineage: Eukaryota; Metazoa; Chordata; Mammalia; Carnivora; Phocidae.
UCAGCCCAGCUGUGUCUUAGGAGACAAUUAACCUAAGGAAAAGUUUAUGCGUGGGGACAAUGUACCACCGCCCACUGCAUUAACCCUGCGGAGCUGAAUGCAACAGGAUGAGAAGCACAAUCCUUUGGAUUUCAAAUGUGGUAACAAAGACAAAUAAAUUCACAGUCCAAGAAGACAAAGCCAUGUUUGUACAGAGGACUCAGACAGCCCAUCAAGGCAAUUCAAACAUUUAGCGAAGACUUACUCUGUGUCCAGCUGGAACCUGAAGUCCCGGAGGCUUGCAAGAACUGUCUUAACUGCUUUUGAUCCUGACCGACCUGGUGUUUCCCCGCAUGGCCCCGCGUGGCAUGGGGUGCCCCUUCUCUUGGAAUCUGGGAGUAUAACAAGUCAUCUCUCAAUGGCUAUUGUCUGCUGAUCUGAUGGCCUCACCAUACAUGAAUAAUGAUAUAAUAGUAAACCUUACACAUUUAGAGCAACGUGGGUCUAGACUUCACAUGUAAAGGGACACAAAAUCAUAUCUUAGCAACUAGAUGUACAUCCAAGUCUUGAACUGCCAAGAGUUUUAUUUUUGUAAAAAUGUUUGGUAAGAUUUAUUUACAUUUCCUGAAGUUGAAAUUUUAAAAUUUCAUCAUAACAAAUUGAAUAAAUAUUUUGAUACUGAUUAAUUUAUAACGUGUACUUUAGAAGGAA